Molecule: ribosomal RNA, 805 nt
Filed under: Alteromonas sp.
Lineage: Bacteria; Pseudomonadati; Pseudomonadota; Gammaproteobacteria; Alteromonadales; Alteromonadaceae
Description: bacterial SSU rRNA
Rfam family: Bacterial small subunit ribosomal RNA
Source: RNAcentral
CUUGCUAGAAGAUGACGAGUGGCGGACGGGUGAGUAAUGCUUGGGAACUUGCCUUUAGGAGGGGGAUAACAGUUGGAAACGACUGCUAAUACCGCAUAAUGUCUACGGACCAAAGGGGGCUUCGGCUCUCACCUAAAGAGAGGCCCAAGUGAGAUUAGCUAGUUGGUAAGGUAAAAGCUUACCAAGGCGACGAUCUCUAGCUGUUCUGAGAGGAAGAUCAGCCACACUGGGACUGAGACACGGCCCAGACUCCUACGGGAGGCAGCAGUGGGGAAUAUUGCACAAUGGGGGAAACCCUGAUGCAGCCAUGCCGCGUGUGUGAAGAAGGCCUUCGGGUUGUAAAGCACUUUCAGUUGUGAGGAAAGGUUGGUAGUUAAUACCUGCCAGCUGUGACGUUAACAACAGAAGAAGCACCGGCUAACUCCGUGCCAGCAGCCGCGGUAAUACGGAGGGUGCGAGCGUUAAUCGGAAUUACUGGGCGUAAAGCGCACGCAGGCGGUUUGUUAAGCUAGAUGUGAAAGCCCCGGGCUCAACCUGGGAUGGUCAUUUAGAACUGGCAGACUAGAGUCUUGGAGAGGGGAGUGGAAUUCCAGGUGUAGCGGUGAAAUGCGUAGAUAUCUGGAGGAACAUCAGUGGCGAAGGCGGCUCCCUGGCCAAAGACUGACGCUCAUGUGCGAAAGUGUGGGUAGCGAACAGGAUUAGAUACCCUGGUAGUCCACACCGUAAACGCUGUCUACUAGCUGUUUGUGAAUUUAAUUCGUGAGUAGCGAAGCUAACGCGAUAAGUAGACCGCCUGGGGAGUACG